RNAcentral lists this long non-coding RNA (3405 nucleotides) under Volvox carteri. Its description in RNAcentral is "long non-coding RNA (VCAR_LNC001048)". Lineage: Eukaryota; Viridiplantae; Chlorophyta; Chlorophyceae; Chlamydomonadales; Volvocaceae. The record is from RNAcentral.
CCUCGCCUCCCUCUCCUUCGCCUCCCUCUCCUUCGCCACCGUCGCCUUCGCCUCCCUCUCCUUCGCCUCCAUCUCCCUCGCCACCCUCUCCCUCGCCUCCCUCUCCUUCGCCACCGUCGCCUUCGCCUCCCUCUCCUUCGCCUCCAUCUCCCUCGCCACCAUCUCCUUCGCCUCCCUCUCCUUCACCUCCCUCUCCUUCACCUCCCUCUCCUUCACCUCCCUCUCCUUCACCUCCCUCUCCCUCGCCACCAUCCCCCAAGCCGCCAUCUCCCUCGCCACCAUCCCCCAGCCCCCCCUCUCCAUCACCUCCGAUUUCCUCUUGCGACAUGUGUAUUGACCUGACGAUUGAUCCAGCCCGAGUGUUUCCGCCGUACCAGUUUGACAGUUUCACAUGUGAAGUAGUGCAGACCUCUAUUUCGUACGAUAUUAACGAAAAGGCCGCCUCGAUGGGCCUUAUGCUGGCGCAAAACUUCUCGGUCGACGCCAGCAAGUGCAGCUCUGAUAAGAUCAUUGUUUGCGGGAAGUUUGCUUCGGAGUCUGAUGCUGCGCAGCUGGAGGAGUGGACUCGAAUUCAGGCGGAGCAGUUUUGGCUGUACUCGUUUGCAAGCGCCUGCACUCCCGUCAUGUAUGGCUACUCGUUCCGGAUUACGACCGACAAGUGCAUGGAUGUUGUAAAGUCGCGGACUUGCUCUUUGGUACAGAGCGAUUUUCCUUUUUGCGGGUAAGUGGGGUUGAAAAUCAGGGUGUAACAAUUUGUUGGUGUUCGACGAGUAGUUCGUGUAACGUCUUCAUGUCGGCGUUUGGUAAUUAUGCAAUUCGUUUUUGUCUAUGAGCUGAGUUGCCGUCCUUGCGUGCUGCUAAACGCUCCAACGUUGUUGAUACAACAGGUGCCAACGGAAACGCUACUCGACACCCUUCUACGUGAGCCCUUCGGCGUCGUCUGAGCAAGGCCGUACAAGUGAUACGACACUGUACUGCUUCACCUUGGGCGUCCUUCCAAAUGAAUUUGCUCUGCUGCCGGUAGGCUACAACACAAUUGCAUUAAGUGGGCGCAAGAGCUCUGCUUUACUCUUUCCCGUCGUGUGACCCUUUCACUUUUGUGUUCAUGCAGGGCCGCUGCAACUCGAGCAGUAAGGUGGCCAAGGUCGAGAUUUGGGCUAGUGAGUUUGUGCCGCGCGAACGAAGGACAGACUUUGAUUGUUUGCUGCCCUCGUUGUGUAAACCGUUGUUUCUGUUUCUGUGCGGCAUCUUGCUCAGUGCUUGGUCUUGCGCUGACGGCCUUACCAUUGGGCACGUCCAUGACCUCUGUCUUGCGCAAAUGGUUGCUCACCCGCUCUAUCAAUUUACCUGCGCUUCAGACGAGGACCGCCGCGGCAAGCUGCGGGGAUUUCGCCUCUCGACUCCCGACGGCAAGACCAGGUGGCUGUCCCCAUCCUGGGGCGACAAGGGCAGCAACACGGCCAAAGGUAGGCAACGGAUACUGGUCGCCAUUACUACAUGAACAGCGGCAUUCCUGCGCCUUCCUCGUGCGUCUUAACUAGCUGCAACAAUACAGGUGCUGCUGACCGCCGCUUGUUCUUUUUUCCUGCUUGUUAAUCAUGGCCUAUCAGCGUACAUACGAGGACUUUGCAAUUUACUAUUGCUAGGUCGGUUAUUUAUUUUUACUAGCUUAUUUAUUGCUACAUCGUUUAUUUUUAUUUACCCCGCCUUCCUCCCGCAAAUUCUUAACCUCACUGCGUGCAGUUUCUGGCCUGACUUGGAACCGGGCAACUGCUAACGGUGCAGAGAUUUGUAUGGAGCUGAAGAACGAUAUCACUUUGCAAGAGUUUUGCGUGUCUAAUGUCUGGUAAGUCAGUGUGACGUGCUUCGCAGUGCUUCGCUCGCUCGCUCCUGGCCGUUGCUGUGCGAGCUGCUGCUGCUGCUUUUACGCCGUUGUAUUUCCCCGAGUUCUUGCAACGGUCCAGUAUUAGAUCGUACCCCACGCGAUCCUAUGCAAGGCGUGUUUGAACGCGCGCACGUGUUCCGCGUAUUGAAGUGCUUUCCCGCCCUCUUCCCCGGCCUCUACCUCGCAUGGCAUGCACUGCUCGACUACCAACCUAACUACGUGGACGGAAUGUGCACAGCUCCAUCUCACUGUUCGAUGGCCACUCUUCAAACGCCUGCUGCCCUACAUACCAAUCAGCUGUGGCUUAGGGUCAACGUUCAUGAGUACGGUCAACAUUUCGGUAGUCGUUGGGCGGCAGCAUUCGCAACAUGGCUUGGAGAAAUGAAAAAAUAAAGCUUCUUCUUGAUUGGGUGGUAAUGCUUUGUUUUGGGCUGAUCGGUACCGCGUACUUACCACACGCGCUUGCGCCUCUUAUUGAUCGCAUAAUAACCUUUGUGGAAGGGCGGGCAGUAAAUUCUUGAGUGCAGGUUUGAGUGCAGGUUUGCCAGCAAGCGCAUAGAAAGGUAAUUUAUAUAUCUUCUUUUUCCUGCUUACUACACAUUCGUAUGCUUUGUAUGCUUUUGCAGUAUGCGUGCGCGGCAGUGAUGCUAGGUUUGAAGCAUCUUCGUCUCAUUUCUCCUUCUAUUUACGGCUGCCAAAUUGUUAUGUUCCUUAUCAUUGUUUGAUCAAGCUUAUCGUCUUGCUUCCGUUUCUAGCAGCGUGUUUUGCGUCUCCUGUCGUCUGCUGCUGGUGUUCGCUUGCGCUAACUGAUAGCUUAGUAAUCGUCUUGCAUGCAACUACUGUUAUAUCUUGCGCCCCAAGCUUACUUGCCAUCCUGGCAAUGUCAUCGGCGGCGGGCCGCCCCAUUGAUAUGGCACACUUGGCUAAUGCGUGUGAAGAAGGACUCACGUGCAGACAUCGGUUUCGUUUNNNNNNNNNNNNNNNNNNNNNNNNNNNNNNNNNNNNNNNNNNNNNNNNNNNNNNNNNNNNNNNNNNNNNNNNNNNNNNNNNNNNNNNNNNNNNNNNNNNNNNNNNNNNNNNNNNNNNNNNNNNNNNNNNNNNNNNNNNNNNNNNNNNNNNNNNNNNNNNNNNNNNNNUCCCCUGAACCGCCAUCUCCCUCGCCACCAUCUCCCUCGCCACCAUCUCCCUCGCCACCAUCUCCCUCACCACCAUCUCCCUCACCUCCCUCUCCUUCGCCUCCCUCUCCUUCGCCACCCUCCCCCAAGCCGCCAUCUCCUUCGCCACCCUCUCCUUCGCCACCCUCUCCUUCGCCACCCUCUCCUUCGCCACCAUCCCCCAAGCCACCAUCUCCCUCGCCACCAUCUCCUUCGCCUCCCUCUCCUUCGCCUCCCUCUCCUUCGCCACCCUCUCCUUCGCCACCAUCCCCUGAACCGCCAUCUCCCUCGCCACCAUCUCCCUCACCUCCCUCUCCUUCGCCUCCCUCUCCUUCGCCACCCUCCCCCAAGCCGCCAUCUCCUUCG